RNAcentral lists this ribosomal RNA (96 nucleotides) under Acinetobacter baumannii. Lineage: Bacteria; Pseudomonadati; Pseudomonadota; Gammaproteobacteria; Moraxellales; Moraxellaceae. The record is from RNAcentral.
GUGAACCUCCUGAUCCCUUCCCGAACUCAGAAGUGAAACCUCUUAGCGCUGAUGGUAGUGUGGGAUUACCGAUGUGAGAGUAAGUCAUCGCCAGCU